UUCUCUAUAAACGAUGGUGUCUGUACUGCCUUACCACUUCAAGCUCGAUCCAGAGAGUUCAGACGGCGUUACGAUAUAAACGAUCUCCGUCAAUUAACGCGAUUGGAUUUAACUUUUUUAGGUGUCCUUAGCUCUGCCAGAAUGCUAAACGAAGACGAAAAUGUGUUGCAAAGACAUCCAAAAGGUUUUAAGGAGAAUGCAACAGGUUCCAGGGCCUCUUACCUGCGUGAUUCAUCAUCCAGAUACGCUUGGAGCUUCCUGAUCAGAUCGGUCACAAUUUUGGCUUUCGAU
Paramisgurnus dabryanus is the source of this 291-nucleotide long non-coding RNA. RefSeq lists it as uncharacterized. NCBI's taxonomy places the organism in Eukaryota, Metazoa, Chordata, Actinopteri, Cypriniformes, Cobitidae. The record is from RefSeq and is a predicted model, not a curated record.